CACUCCUGCGGGAGGCAGCAGUGGGGAAUUUUGGACAAUGGGGGCAACCCUGAUCCAGCAAUGCCGCGUGAGUGAAGAAGGCCUUCGGGUUGUAAAGCUCUUUUGUCAGGGAAGAAACGGUGGUGGCGAAUAACUACUACUAAUGACGGUACCUGAAGAAUAAGCACCGGCUAACUACGUGCCAGCAGCCGCGGUAAUACGUAGGGUGCAAGCGUUAAUCGGAAUUACUGGGCGUAAAGCGUGCGCAGGCGGUUGUGUAAGUCAGAUGUGAAAUCCCCGGGCUCAACCUGGGAAUUGCAUUUGAGACUGCACGGCUAGAGUGUGUCAGAGGGGGGUAGAAUUCCACGUGUAGCGGUGAAAUGCGUAGAUAUGUGGAGGAAUACCGAUGGCGAAGGCAGCCCCCUGGGAUAACACUGACGCUCAUGCACGAAAGCGUGGGGAGCAAACAGGAUUAGAAACCCUAGUAGUCCCAUGA
RNAcentral lists this ribosomal RNA (475 nucleotides) under uncultured organism. RNAcentral's name for it is "partial 16S ribosomal RNA". It matches the Rfam family "Bacterial small subunit ribosomal RNA", at positions 334 to 800 of the family's 1533-position model. The record is from RNAcentral.